RNAcentral lists this long non-coding RNA (223 nucleotides) under Vigna radiata. RNAcentral's name for it is "long non-coding RNA (VRAD_LNC015101)". The record is from RNAcentral. Lineage: Eukaryota; Viridiplantae; Streptophyta; Magnoliopsida; Fabales; Fabaceae.
AAAAAUUGCCCAUUGUAAUCUUGCAUAUUAAUUACCCCAAAAUAUUUCACAAUCCUCAAAAUUAAUGUAUUUCCUACUCCUACUUAAGUAUAAUUGUCAAGCUGUUACAAAACAAUAUUAUAAUAAAAAACAAUAAGAUUGGCCCAUCAUUCUCACUUGUAACACCUCUUCAACAUUUCUUUAAAUUCUCUUGAAAUCCUCUUCCUACUCUUUUGCGCACUCA